GAUGAAGAACGUAGCGAAGUGCGAUAAGUAAUGUGAAUUGCAGAAUUCAGUGAAUCAUCGAAUCUUUGAACGCACCUUGCACUCCUUGGUAUUCCGAGGAGUACGCCUGUUCGAGUGUUAUGAAGCUCUCAAAACGCAAUUGGCUUAAAACCUGAUUGUUGUUUUGGAUUUGAACUUUGCCGUGUUAUAACGGCUGGUUUUAAAAGUAUUAGCUGGUACUAGAACGAAUUGGUUCUACUCAACGUGAUAAUUAUCUGAUCGUUGAGGACAUUCCUUUCACGAGGAAUGGCCAUAGUAAAUUCAAUGGACUGCUUCUAAUCUGGCUUUAAUUCUUUAUUGGAUUAACCACUUUUCAAAUCUGACCUCGAAUCAGGUGGGACUACCCGCUGAACUUAAGCAUAUCAAUAAGCGGAGGA
RNAcentral lists this unclassified non-coding RNA (416 nucleotides) under soil metagenome. RNAcentral describes it as "partial contains 5.8S ribosomal RNA, internal transcribed spacer 2, and large subunit ribosomal RNA". The stretch from base 1 to 120 matches the Rfam family "5.8S ribosomal RNA", at positions 35 to 154 of the family's 154-position model. The record is from RNAcentral.